This is a long non-coding RNA of Orcinus orca (killer whale), 1157 nucleotides long. RefSeq lists it as uncharacterized. Lineage: Eukaryota; Metazoa; Chordata; Mammalia; Artiodactyla; Delphinidae. The record is from RefSeq and is a predicted model, not a curated record. The transcript has 2 exons.
ACCUCCUUAGUUGUGGCAUGCAUGUGGGAUCUAGUUCCCUGACCAGGGAUCGAGGGAUUGAACCCCACACCCCCUGCACUGGGAGUGGGGAGUCUUAACCACUGUGCCACCAGGGAAGUCCCUGCCUUCCACACUUGAGGUGGGAAAUCCCCCAAAUAUAGACAGAGUGGCCAAAAGCAUGGCACAUGUUACCCACAGGUAAUCUUUAGAUAAAUCAGAGGGACAAGGAUGGCCCUUCCAGGUGAAAGGGUCUCAAAAGAGAAAGUAUGGUGAAGUGAUAAAGAGUGCAAACUCCAGAUGCAAAUGGUCUGGGUUGGAAUUCUUUUUUUUUUUAAUUAUUUAUUUUUGGCUGUGUUGGGUUUUCGUUGCUGCGCAUGGGCUUUCUCUAGUUGCUGUGAGCGGGGGCUACUCUUUGUUGAGGUGAACAGCCUUCUCAUUGCGGUGGCUUCUCGUUGCAGAGCAUGGGCUCUAGGCGUGCGGGCUUCAGUAGUUGUGGCACGUGGGCUCAGUAGUUGUGGCGCACGAGCUUAGUUGCUCCGCGGCAUGUGGGAUCUUCCCGGACCAGGGCUCAAACCCGUGUCUGCUGCAUUGGCAGGCGGAUUCUUAAUCACUGCGCCAUCAGGGAAGCCUUUUUGUUUUUUCUUUAAUUUUAAAAUUAUUUUUAUUUUUUUGGCUGCAUUGAGUCUUCAUUGCUGCGUGCGGGCUUUCUCUAGUUGCAGCGAGCGGGAGCUACGCUUCGUUGCAGCGCAUGGGCUUCUCAUUGCGGUGGCUUCUCAUAUCGCAGAGUACAGGCUCUAAGCGCCCGGGCUUCAGUAGUUGCAGCACGUGGGCUUCAGUAGUUAUGGCGUGUGGGCUCUAGAGUGCAGGCUCAGUAGUUGUGGCGCACGGGUUUAGUUGUUCCAUGGCAUGUAGGAUCUUCCCAGACCAGGCCUCGAACCUGUGUCCCCUGCAUUGGCAGGUGGAUUCUUAACCACUGCGCCACCAGGGAAGUCCCCAAGAAGGGUGACUGAUUGAACACGGAGGUUGCAGAAGAUGGAGUUGUCCUUUUAUUUUGCAACUGAAAUAUUAGUGCAAUCACAGUGUUAUUCACUGACAUAAAGCACAUGGUGAAUAUUUGUUUGAUGUUUCAUCAAAUAAAUGCUUUUAUUUUUGGCACA